UUUUCGUAGGUGAACCUGCGGAAGGAUCAUUAGUGAAUUUUUUUCGGGUCUGCGCGCUUUGCAAAAAGCCCAGCCCGAUCCACUACCUUUACACACUGUGCUCUCGUCCUUUUUUAACACUGUUGAAGUGGGAAAAGUUGAAGAAAACCAAGAAAUUGACAAACGAAAGAAAAACUUUCAGCAAUGGAUCUCUUGGCUCUCGCAUCGAUGAAGAACGCAGC
This 221-nucleotide unclassified non-coding RNA is filed under the name uncultured fungus. RNAcentral's name for it is "sequence contains ITS1, 5.8S rRNA gene". The stretch from base 173 to 221 matches the Rfam family "5.8S ribosomal RNA", at positions 1 to 49 of the family's 154-position model. The record is from RNAcentral. Lineage: Eukaryota; Fungi.